UACGUAGGUGGCAAGCGUUGUCCGGAUUUACUGGGCGUAAAGGGCGCGUAGGCGGCCAUGCGUGUCUUCCGUGAAAUCCCUCGGCUUAACUGAGGACGUGCGGAAGAAACUGCAAGGCUCGAGUCCGGGAGAGGGGGGUGGAAUUCCCAGUGUAGCGGUGAAAUGCGUAGAUAUUGGGAGGAACACCGGUGGCGAAGGCGGCCCCCUGGACCGGUACUGACGCUGAGGCGCGAAAGCGUGGGUAGCAAACGGG
Molecule: ribosomal RNA, 253 nt
Filed under: uncultured bacterium
Lineage: Bacteria
Description: partial 16S ribosomal RNA
Rfam family: Bacterial small subunit ribosomal RNA
Source: RNAcentral